RNAcentral lists this ribosomal RNA (378 nucleotides) under uncultured bacterium. Its description in RNAcentral is "bacterial SSU rRNA". It matches the Rfam family "Bacterial small subunit ribosomal RNA", at positions 521 to 896 of the family's 1533-position model. The record is from RNAcentral.
UAAUACGGAGGGUGCUAACGUUGUUCGGAAUUACUGGGCAUAAAGCGCACGUAGGCGGUCUGCUAAGUCGGUUGUGAAAGCCCCCGGCUCAACCGGGGAAUUGCGUUCGAUACUGGCAGGCUCGAGGACGGUUGGGGUGAGUGGAACUCCAGGUGGAGCGGUGAAAUGCGUAGAUAUCUGGAGGAACACCGGUGGCGAAAGCGGCUCACUGGACCGUAACUGACGCUAAUGUGCGAAAGCUAGGGGAGCAAACGGGAUUAGAUACCCCGGUAGUCCUAGCCGUAAACGAUGGGCACUAGGUAAGGGGAAUGCCUAUGGUUUUCCUUGCCGGAGCAAAUGUGUUAAGUGCCCCGCCUGGGGAGUACGCUCGCAAGGGUA